Molecule: small RNA, 71 nt
Filed under: Flavobacterium fontis
Lineage: Bacteria; Pseudomonadati; Bacteroidota; Flavobacteriia; Flavobacteriales; Flavobacteriaceae
Description: Flavo-1 RNA
Source: RNAcentral
CAGCGAUUGCAGCGGCAUCCUUUGCUGCAGCGUUAGCGAAGGCAAAGAUAUAGCGGAAAGCGCGGCGGCUU